Molecule: ribosomal RNA, 502 nt
Filed under: uncultured bacterium
Lineage: Bacteria
Description: bacterial SSU rRNA
Rfam family: Bacterial small subunit ribosomal RNA
Source: RNAcentral
GAUGAACGCUGGCGGCGUGCCUCAAACAUGCAAGUCGAGCGGGGCUAUGUAAUAUCGCAAGGUAGAACAUAGCCUAGCGGCGAACGGGUGAGUAACACGUGGGUAACCUGCCUGGAAGACAGGGAUAACGAUUCGAAAGGGUCGCUAAUACCUGAUAAUAUCCUUUCAUCGCAUGGUGAUAGGAAGAAAGGGGAAACCCGCUUUUCAGAUGGGCCCGCGUCUCAUCAGCUAGUUGGUAAGGUAAAGGCUUACCAAGGCGACGACGGGUAGCCGGUCUGAGAGGAUGUACGGCCACACUGGGACUGAGAUACGGCCCAGACUCCUACGGGAGGCAGCAGUUGGGAAUCUUAGGCAAUGGACGAAAGUCUGACCUAGCGACGCCGCGUGAGGGAAGAAGGCCUUCGGGUUGUAAACUCCUGGACUGGGGACGAGGAAGGACGGUACCCCAGUAGAAAGGGACGGCUAACUACGUGCCAGCAGCCCGACGGUAAAAGUACUCUAU